AUACGUAGGGUGCAAGCGUUAAUCGGAAUUACUGGGCGUAAAGCGUGCGCAGGCGGUUUUGUAAGACAGAGGUGAAAUCCCCGGGCUCAACCUGGGAACUGCCUUUGUGACUGCCAGGCUAGAGUGCGGCAGAGGGGGAUGGAAUUCCGCGUGUAGCAGUGAAAGGCGUAGAUAUGCGGAGGAACACCGAUGGCGAAGGCAAUCCCCUGGGACUGUACUGACGCUCAUGCACGAAAGCGUGGGGAGCAAACAGGAUUAGAUACCCUGGUAGUCCACGCCCUAAACGAUGUCAACUGGUUGUUGGGUCUUCAUUGACUCAGUAACGAAGCUAACGCGUGAAGUUGACCGCCUGGGGAGUACGGCCGCAAGGUUGAAACUUAAAUGAAUUGACGGGG
RNAcentral lists this ribosomal RNA (395 nucleotides) under uncultured bacterium. RNAcentral describes it as "partial 16S ribosomal RNA". It matches the Rfam family "Bacterial small subunit ribosomal RNA", at positions 523 to 918 of the family's 1533-position model. The record is from RNAcentral.